RNAcentral lists this ribosomal RNA (242 nucleotides) under uncultured bacterium. RNAcentral's name for it is "partial 16S ribosomal RNA". It matches the Rfam family "Bacterial small subunit ribosomal RNA", at positions 528 to 769 of the family's 1533-position model. The record is from RNAcentral.
GAGGAUGCGAGCGUUAUCCGGAUUUAUUGGGUUUAAAGGGUGCGUAGGUGGCCCCGUCAGUCAGUGGUGAAAGUCCGUGGCUCAACCAUGGAAUCGCCAUUGAAACCACGGGGCUUGAGUAUGAUUGAGGUAGGCGGAACGCGUGGUGUAGCGGUGAAAUGCAUAGAUAUCACGCAGAACCCCGAUUGCGAAGGCAGCUUACCAAGCCAUGACUGACACUGAGGCACGAAAGCGUGGGUAUC